RNAcentral lists this ribosomal RNA (431 nucleotides) under uncultured bacterium. RNAcentral describes it as "partial 16S ribosomal RNA". It matches the Rfam family "Bacterial small subunit ribosomal RNA", at positions 29 to 505 of the family's 1533-position model. The record is from RNAcentral.
AACGAACGCUGGCGGCAUGCCUAACACAUGCAAGUCGAACGAGACCUUCGGGUCUAGUGGCGCACGGGUGCGUAACGCGUGGGAACCUGCCCUUAGGUUCGGAAUAACUCCCCGAAAGGGGUGCUAAUACCGGAUAAUGUCUUCGGACCAAAGAUUUAUCGCCUUUGGAUGGGCCCGCGUUGGAUUAGCUAGUUGGUAGGGUAAAAGCCUACCAAGGCGACGAUCCAUAGCUGGUCUGAGAGGAUGAUCAGCCACACUGGGACUGAGACACGGCCCAGACUCCGACGGGAGGCAGAGGGGGGGAAUAUUGGAAAAGGGGGGAAAGCCUGACCCAGCAAGGCCGGGGGGGGGAUGAAGGCCUGGGGGUUUAAAAGCUUUUUUCCCCGGGAUGAAAAGGAAAGGCCGGGGAGAAUAAGCCCCGGCUAACCCCG